AUGAAAAUUAUUAGUUGGAACUGCCGGGGACUCGGGAAUGGCCCGACAGUUUGCUCUCUUCUCGUAUUGGGAAGAAUGGAGGAUCUCGACAUUUUAUUUCUAUGUGAAACAAGGCUGACAGAGAAAGAACUUGAUAGAUUCAGGUGGUUGCUUGGGUUAACUAAUAUGGUGGCAUGGAAGGCGGAAGGGAGGAGUAGGGGGUGAUGUUGUUUUGGAGGCGGGGGUGUCAUGGUUCUAAGACUGACAAUAGAAUGGGAGGUAGGUGUGAGGAGGCAAGAUCCCAGCUAUGAUGAAGUUCUAUACACAAGAUUUAUGAGUUCAGGCCCUUCACGGUGGAAGUAA
Molecule: ribosomal RNA, 342 nt
Filed under: Triticum aestivum (bread wheat)
Lineage: Eukaryota; Viridiplantae; Streptophyta; Magnoliopsida; Poales; Poaceae
Description: partial small subunit ribosomal RNA
Source: RNAcentral